This is a long non-coding RNA of Melospiza melodia melodia, 233 nucleotides long. RefSeq lists it as uncharacterized. The record is from RefSeq and is a predicted model, not a curated record. NCBI's taxonomy places the organism in Eukaryota, Metazoa, Chordata, Aves, Passeriformes, Passerellidae. The transcript has 3 exons.
GGAGUUCUUGAAACCUUGAGACUGGAAAGAAUUGCAGAGAAAUCUGGAAAAAUUCUAUCUGGGAAGGACAGCCACAUUGUCUUAAAUGUGUUUAAGGUUUGCUGUGGAAUUUCGGAGAAUCAGGGAUGUACACUGCCACUGAUAAAGCUUCUCAGCUUCCCUGGAGAAGAAAUCCUGGCGAGGGGAUUUUUCCAGAAAAUAUGACUGUGACAGACAAUUUAUCCAGCAUUUAG